UAUCCGGCCUGAGAGGGUGAUCGGACACACUGGAACUGAGACACGGUCCAGACUCCUACGGGAGGCAGCAGUAGGGAAUAUUGCUCAAUGGGCGAAAGCCUGAAGCAGCAACGCCGCGUGGAGGAUGAAGGUUUUAGGAUUGUAAACUCCUUUUCUAAGAGAAGAUUAUGACGGUAUCUUAGGAAUAAGCACCGGCUAACUCCGUGCCAGCAGCCGCGGUAAUACGGAGGG
RNAcentral lists this ribosomal RNA (231 nucleotides) under Helicobacter sp. H009. RNAcentral describes it as "partial 16S ribosomal RNA". It matches the Rfam family "Bacterial small subunit ribosomal RNA", at positions 284 to 532 of the family's 1533-position model. The record is from RNAcentral. Lineage: Bacteria; Pseudomonadati; Campylobacterota; Epsilonproteobacteria; Campylobacterales; Helicobacteraceae.